UUAUGCCUACUAACCAUGUGACUAAUGUUGUUUUAUCAGUAUAUAGAUACUUGUAAUUUCUCUGUAUAGUCAGUAGAGUUGUAGCAGCUUGCGAGUGUGCAUCUAAGUGCACACUCCUGGCUGUGUCCUAUUUCACCUGGACACAGCUUUUUUACUAAAAGUUUGUUCAACGAGACCAUUGACUCUUUGAAUUAUUAUUCUACUCAUCAAGUCUCACCAACUUUAACACCGUCCUCUGCAUGGAGUGAUUUUCCGUGUGGAUUUUACAUUGCGAUUAAAGACAGAAUAGUUAAAGUUUCCUUUCUCAAGGUUUGGGAAGUACCUCAGGAGUUUCCCUCUUAGACAAAGUUCACCUCCAGGCGAUGUGCAAAUUGAAAGUGGAAGAGGUCAAUAAAAGGGAUUUCAGUGCACCACUCUUCGGUUAAACACCAACAGAGAGGAUGGACAGAGUCGUGGAUAAACAGAGGAUUCCUCAGCAGAGGACGAAUCAACAGUGAAUUAAAAAUGAGCAGCACAUCUACCAUGGCAAUUCUGAUCCUGCUUCUGUGUGCCUUUGCUGCACAUGGUAUUCCGACCUUAGAAAUCCAAGGCGUCGUCAGUGCAUUAAACCGACCAAGAAAUUUAUUCACCCGAAGUUCAUGAAGAGUGUGAAAUAUAUUCCCAGAGGUUUGCACUGUGAGAGACUGGAGAUAAUAGUCAAGCUGAAAAGUGGGAAAA
Molecule: long non-coding RNA, 717 nt
Organism: Amblyraja radiata (thorny skate)
Lineage: Eukaryota; Metazoa; Chordata; Chondrichthyes; Rajiformes; Rajidae
Exons: 3
Source: RefSeq, a predicted model, not a curated record